Pieris napi is the source of this 581-nucleotide long non-coding RNA. RefSeq lists it as uncharacterized. The transcript is spliced from 2 exons. The record is from RefSeq and is a predicted model, not a curated record. Lineage: Eukaryota; Metazoa; Arthropoda; Insecta; Lepidoptera; Pieridae.
GGUAUUAUUCAGAUUAAUAUUUGAAUUUUGAAUGAAUCCAUGACAAGUAUAGUUUAACUUAUUAAAUUUUCGAAGAAUUGAGUUAUGAUUCUGUGGUAAUUUAAAACUUCACUAAACUCUGCCGUCAAUGUGACAGCUAUGAACUAUCGUUUUUAAAUUUCUGUUGUAUUAAUUUCUUAUUUAUCUCAUCACACAUGUUUAAUUUUAGCCUAGAAGGGAAAAAUUCAAAAGGGGUUCGCAAAUAAAUUACAUUUCUGCAGGUUAAUUGAUUGAUAUAAAUUGUGAGAUAGUCACGGAUAUGGGCAAACGAAAUAAAAAUCGAGAUAAUAUGACGGCUGCCGGUAUGGUUGAAAUUACAGAAUCAAAUACUGAGAAUCAGGAAAAAGUUGUUCAAGAAGAGAAGCAAAAUAAAAGAAAGAAAACCAAACCUAGCAUUAGUUCAGAUAUUGAUGCUACGGAUAAGUCUAAGAAGACAAUAGAUACAAAUCAAGCAUUGGCUACUGAAGAUAUAAAUUCUGAGAAAAGAGAUGAAAAUUAUAAACAAACAAGUACAUAUAAGAAUAAAAAGAAAAAAAGAGAAA